AUACCUUUCUCCGCCUUUUGGCUAAGAUUAAGUGUAGUAUUUGUUAUUAUUAGUUUAAUAUUUGAUAUUUGAUAUUUGAUAUGUGGGGUACAUCCUCACAACGACAUUAAAUUUAUUUUUUAAGGCAACUUUCUGCACCAGGUGCUCCCUGUACACCAUCUUAUCAUACUUGGGAACGCUACCCGUUUUCUCCACCGAAUAGAGAAGCGUUCACCAU
RNAcentral lists this small nuclear RNA (217 nucleotides) under Triticum aestivum (bread wheat). Its description in RNAcentral is "U2 spliceosomal RNA". It matches the Rfam family "U2 spliceosomal RNA". Rfam says of the family: U2 is a small nuclear RNA (snRNA) component of the spliceosome (involved in pre-mRNA splicing). Complementary binding between U2 snRNA (in an area lying towards the 5' end but 3' to hairpin I) and the branchpoint sequence (BPS) of the intron results the bulging out of an unpaired adenosine, on the BPS, which initiates a nucleophilic attack at the intronic 5' splice site, thus starting the first of two transesterification reactions that mediate splicing. Lineage: Eukaryota; Viridiplantae; Streptophyta; Magnoliopsida; Poales; Poaceae. The record is from Rfam by way of RNAcentral.